GAUCAUGGCUCAGGAUGAACGCUGGCGGCGUGCCUAAUACAUGCAAGUCGAACGCUUCACUUCGGUGAAGAGUGGCGAACGGGUGAGUAAUACAUAAGUAACCUGGCAUCUACAGGGGGAUAACUGAUGGAAACGACUGCUAAUACCGCAUAAGCCCACGGCUCGGCAUCGAGCAGAGGGAAAAGGAGCAAUCCGCUUUGAGAUGGCCUCGCGUCCGAUUAGCUAGUUGG
RNAcentral lists this ribosomal RNA (230 nucleotides) under uncultured bacterium. Its description in RNAcentral is "partial 16S ribosomal RNA". It matches the Rfam family "Bacterial small subunit ribosomal RNA", at positions 15 to 252 of the family's 1533-position model. The record is from RNAcentral.